RNAcentral lists this ribosomal RNA (253 nucleotides) under uncultured bacterium. RNAcentral's name for it is "partial 16S ribosomal RNA". It matches the Rfam family "Bacterial small subunit ribosomal RNA", at positions 524 to 776 of the family's 1533-position model. The record is from RNAcentral.
UACGGGGGGUGCGAGCGUUGUCCGGAAUCACUGGGCGUAAAGGGCGCGUAGGUGGCCUGAUAAGGGUGUGGUGAAAGUCCGGGGCUCAACCCCGGAUCUGCCGUGCCGACUGUGAGGCUAGAGUACUGUAGGGGCAGGCGGAAUUCCGGGUGUAGCGGUGGAAUGCGUAGAGAUCCGGAAGAACACCUGAGGCGAAGGCGGCUUGCUGGGCCUGAUCUGACGCUGAGGCGCGAAAGCGUGGGGAGCAAACAGG